CAAUGGCUGAUAAUAAUAGACCUAUUAACUAUAUAAAUGAAUAAAAAUAGGUCAAACGCGUUGUUUUCAUAAUUGCGCAAAAAUGAAGAAGGCUGUGUUUGUUCUCAUUUUAUAUUUGUGCAACAACAUCAAUGCGUUCUGCCCUCGACGUGAAGCUUGUACUCUACAAUGUAACCCUAAAACUGUAAGCCUGAUCGAAUGCCCAUCAAAUAUCCAAUAUAAUGUACCAGCUUGCCAAUCCUGCAAGACCCAAAUCUGCCAAUG
Pieris napi is the source of this 264-nucleotide long non-coding RNA. RefSeq lists it as uncharacterized. The record is from RefSeq and is a predicted model, not a curated record. NCBI's taxonomy places the organism in Eukaryota, Metazoa, Arthropoda, Insecta, Lepidoptera, Pieridae. The transcript has 2 exons.